RNAcentral lists this unclassified non-coding RNA (120 nucleotides) under Homo sapiens (human). The record is from RNAcentral. Lineage: Eukaryota; Metazoa; Chordata; Mammalia; Primates; Hominidae.
GGCCGGGCGCGGUGGCUCACUCCUGUAAUCCCAGCACUUUGGGAGGCCGAGGCGGGUGGAUCAUCUGAGGUCAGGAGUUCGAGACCAGCCUGGCCGACGUGGUGAAACCCCGUCUCUACU